RNAcentral lists this long non-coding RNA (519 nucleotides) under Nicotiana benthamiana. Its description in RNAcentral is "long non-coding RNA (NBEN_LNC012718)". Lineage: Eukaryota; Viridiplantae; Streptophyta; Magnoliopsida; Solanales; Solanaceae. The record is from RNAcentral.
AGUGGACUUUCCAGGUGUGGGAAGAGGAUGGGAAGGAGGUAACACAGGAGUAGGGAGAUCAGGAUUGAAAUAAGGAAGGGAAGAUGGACCAGCAUCAGGAAAAUCAGGUGUAGGAGAAUCAGAAUUAGAAGGAAGAACAGGAGAAUCAGGGGAAGUGAAUAUAGGAAAGUCUGAGGCAGUGAAAUCAUCAGCAGGAGGAAUAUAAGGAAAAUAUGAAGAAGAAGGGUGAGCAGAAGUAGGAUUAUUCUUAAAAGGGAUAUAAGUUUCAUGGAAGACAACAUCCCUUUAAACAAAACACUUCUUGGUAACCAAAUUAUACAGUUUAUAACCCUUUUUGGCAAAGGGGUAACCCAGAAACACACAAGAGUGGGCUCUAGGUUUCAGCUUGUCCCUUUGAGGGAUAGGGACAGCAGCAUAAGCAAGGCAUCCAAAUGUGGCAAAGGGGUAACCCAGAAACACACAAGAGUGGGCUCUAGGUUUCAGCUUGUCCCUUUGAGGGAUAGGGACAGCAGCAUAAGC